GUCCAGACUCCUACGGGAGGCAGCAGUGGGGAAUAUUGCACAACGGGGGAAACCCUGAUGCAGCGACGCCGCGUGAGCGAUGAAGUAUUUCGGUAUGUAAAGCUCUAUCAGCAGGGAAGAAGAUGACGGUACCUGACUAAGAAGCCCCGGCUAACUACGUGCCAGCAGCCGCGGUAAUACGUAGGGGGCAAGCGUUAUCCGGAUUUACUGGGUGUAAAGGGAGCGUAGACGGCGAUGCAAGCCAGAUGUGAAAGCCCGGGGCUCAACCCCGGGACUGCAUUUGGAACUGUGUGGCUGGAGUGUCGGAGAGGCAGGCGGAAUUCCUAGUGUAGCGGUGAAAUGCGUAGAUAUUAGGAGGAACACCAGUGGCGAAGGCGGCCUGCUGGACGAUGACUGACGUUGAGGCUCGAAAGCGUGGGGAGCAAACAGGAUUAGAUACCCCAGUA
This 446-nucleotide ribosomal RNA is filed under the name uncultured bacterium. Its description in RNAcentral is "bacterial SSU rRNA". It matches the Rfam family "Bacterial small subunit ribosomal RNA", at positions 329 to 792 of the family's 1533-position model. The record is from RNAcentral.